UACGGAGGGUGCAAGCGUUGUUCGGAAUCACUGGGCGUAAAGCGCGUGUAGGCGGUCUCCUAAGUCUGGUGUGAAAGCCCGGGGCUCACCCCCGGAAGUGCACUGGAAACUGGGAGACUGGAGUACCGGAGAGGAGGGUGGAAUUCCUGGUGUAGCGGUGAAAUGCGUAGAUAUCAGGAGGAACACCGGUGGCGAAGGCGGCCCUCUGGACGGAUACUGACGCUGAGACGCGAAAGCGUGGGGAGCAAACAGG
Molecule: ribosomal RNA, 253 nt
Filed under: uncultured bacterium
Lineage: Bacteria
Description: partial 16S ribosomal RNA
Rfam family: Bacterial small subunit ribosomal RNA
Source: RNAcentral